Molecule: RNA transcript, 3487 nt
Organism: Mauremys reevesii (Reeves's turtle)
Lineage: Eukaryota; Metazoa; Chordata; Testudines; Geoemydidae
Gene: VWC2
Gene name: von Willebrand factor C domain containing 2
Exons: 5
Source: RefSeq, a predicted model, not a curated record
GCUCUACGGACUCCCCUGAGCUCGGUGGAGCUCCUCGCUUUCCCGCCCUGGGCUGGCGAAGAGGAGGCGGCCCGAGGCGCGUGGGGAAGGCAAAGGGGGCACGCUGGAGGAGGAGGGCGCGCAAUGGCAGGAGGUGAUGGCAGGGAAGAGGCGAAGGGGACGGAACGGGACUGGAUUUACAUAGUGAUUCCCUCUGAUGUGAAUGCAGCAUCUCUUGUCCCUCUGGGAUGCCAUAGGUGAUGGCCAGCUCUACUGCAAUGGCAAUUGGCGCUCUCUCUAGUUCUCUUCUUGUAACCUGCUGUCUCAUGGUUGCUCUCUGUAGCUCCACCAUACCUGUGCAAAAACUGGCCAAGGCUCCAGACAAACAGGAGAUAAAAACAAGCCAGGAAAAGAGGGAUCAUACAUCAAGCAGGCCGGACAGUCAGAGUCAGACAGGCCCAGGGAAAAUGAAUGAAAUUGGAAGGAAUGGGCGGGAAGAGGGCACCAGAGAUUGGAAGAGUAAAGGAAACAGAAAUUAUUCAAACAAAGAAUCUUGGACUAGGCAAAAACAAGUUUGGAAUAGUCAAGGAACAAGCGGUAAAUCUGGGAACAUUCAAGCACAGGAGCAAAGGGACGGUGUUCCAGAGGAACCUCAGGCAGCUGAAGAAUCAUUCCUCCCAGAAGUUGUUGCUAGUACUACUCCUGAGCCUCCAGAGGAGUAUGCCUAUCCAGAUUACCGUGGGAAAGGCUGUGUGGAUGAGAGUGGCUUUGUUUAUGCUAUCGGGGAGAAGUUUACUCCAGGUCCCUCUGCUUGCCCCUGCCUUUGCACUGAUGAGGGACCUCUGUGCAUUCAACCUGAGUGCCCAAGACUCCAUCCCCGGUGUAUUCAUGUAGACACCAGUCAGUGCUGCCCACAGUGCAAAGAGAGGAAGAACUACUGUGAGUUCAGAGGAAAGACCUACCAGACACUAGAAGAAUUCAUGGUUUCCCCAUGUGAGAAAUGCCGUUGUGAAGCCAAUGGUGAAGUGCUGUGCACAGUGUCUGCUUGUCCUCAGACUGAAUGUGUGGAUCCAGUGUACGAGCCAGAUCAAUGCUGCCCCAUCUGCAAAAAUGGCCCAAACUGCUUUGCAGAAACCACUGUCAUUCCAGCUGGCCGAGAGGUGAAGACUGAUGAAUGUACUAUAUGUCACUGUACUUACGAAGAAGGCACUUGGAGAAUUGAACGACAAGCUAUGUGCACUAGACAUGAAUGCAAACAAAUCUAGGGAAUCUACAAAUCAAAAGUACUAUAGGGUUUUCACCGCAGUGAAGUAUUUUAUAAAAACAUCAGAUAAGCCUGGGAAAGAUUAUUCAUUGUAAUAAGAAUAUUUUUGGUGAGGAGAAAAGAUCAUCAUAUUGGUAUUUUGUUUUUCAUAGUAAUGUAAUACUGCAAGACAAAGAAAUCCAUAUAUUUAAAAAAGUUUGGACAUAAAAAUCCUGUCUUAACAUUUUAUUUUCACGACUUCUAUCAGGAUUUUAAUGGAAGUUUUGCCAUUGACUUCGAGGGGCCAGGAUUUCACAUCAAGUAUGGAUUUUGCCCACAUAGCUAUCAAUCACCAGACAACUGUUUGUUUCUCAACCAGAUCAAGGACAAGAAAAUCAGGAAACUACAAAGCAGCAAAGACAUAAAAUGCACAGCAAGCUUAAGUAACCAUAACAAUUACAAAUCUGAAGACAAAUAAUCCUACGACAAAAUGUACCUUCAAGUUCACAUAUAGCCUCAGUACAUCCCAGGUGGACAAUCAAGGAAAGUGGGUUUUGGACUGAUUAUGAUUUUUUUCAAACCUCUUCUCAACCCAUCAACUAUCAAAAUGAUUUUCCUCAAGCCUAUGUACAUGUAUAUAAAGUACAUCAAAAUAUUAUACUAAAAAGCUAUUAUCAAUAAGCAGCAGAAAGAAUGUCCAACACGUACCCUAAAUGUUUCACUCUUAGCAUAAAAAUAUUACUCUGCUAGCGGUAGUAAAUGGAAAUCACUAAUGGGCAGAUUGUGAAGAGCAUCAUCACGUGUGCACCCCAUAUGCUAAGCACUCUGGACAUAAAAGUGCUUGAUCCUGCUACCUAUACCGACAAUAGUACCUCAUUCCCUGAGUAGAAAUUACUAGCGCAGUAAGGUCCUACUCAGUCUAACUAAAGGUGGCAGAAUUUGGCCCUAAAUCAGAGCCAAAUCCUAUUCACCUUACAAAAGUAGUUAUGUUACUCAGAUGAAUAAAGCAAACAGAUUUUGGUCCCAAGUUGCUAAGAGCUAGAUUCAGAAAGGUACUUAGGAUUCCAACAUUUAGGUGCCACUGGCAUUCUGAAAACCACCACUCAGGCACCUGCAGGGCUAGGCGGAAGCUGAGUUGCUACCAGUCAGCAUGUGCAAAGCCCUGAUGCUGCCCCACAGCUAAUGAGUAAGGUUCUGAGCAACCCAAGCCAAAGCCCUCUUAGGAUUCUCAACCCAGGCAUUCUCCACCUUCAACAGAAUUGAUUGAAAGACCCAACCCAGAAUACCCACCAACACAGAGAUUAGGGCACUCAUCUGGAAUGUAGGAAAGGUAGGUUCAAAUCCCUGUUCCAAUUCAGGGGCAUAGUUAAUACUGAGCAUUUUCCACUUCAGAUUUUUAAUCCUGAUACCAACGUAUCCAUUUCACCCAAAUUUCCUGUCUGAUUUAUGUGAUUCCUCAUGAUUUCUCAGGUCUUUCUAGUUUACUGAAGUUGUUUCUCUAAUAUUGUUGAGUUGCAGAGACUGCUGUUUAAAAAUCACGAUUGGGAGGAUGACAAGAUGGCUAUGGAGAUUCAUAAUGGGCUAUGGAGUCUUUUACAUCUAGGUCACCGAACAAAAAGCCAGCCCAGGUCCACUAUUGCCAGCUGAGGGCUGUUCAGUGGUCUGUGUGAAAUUGAUGGGCAAAGGCAAAUUUCUAGCACAGAUGUCAAUGCUACACAGAAAAUAACCCAUAAUUGACUCUGACUGGCAUUCUUGUUGACAACCUCAGUAAAAAGGCAAAGGAGUGAACAAGCACACUCCACAAGGGUGAUUCUACUAUGUCAGUGAACAGGAACAUUGGCAAUGUAAUGUGUGAGAGCCUGUCAGUAUGUACCUGUAGAUGUGAACUUCAGGCUCCAGCACUGUGAUUUUGGCACCUUGUAGAUGCACUAUUUUUUACUUAGCAUUUAAAAGGUGGUAAUGGGAAGAUUUAAAAUAGAUUAGGGCUGAUUUAGCCACUGUGAAAGAACAAUGUCCUCUCCCCUUCAAAAAUGAAAAGGAAUAUACAACCUGCAGUGGGAUGCUGUCCCUCCCCAGGUGCUGAGGACUAUAGCAGAAAGAAAAAAGUUACAUUUUUCAGAGAGUCUUUCAAAUAGCAGUAGAAAAGAACAAUAAAACCUUACCAAACAUGGAAUACAGGAAACAAGGACUAUCCAGCUGUAGUAUCAGAGGGGUAGCCGUGUUAGUCUGGUUCUGUAGAAGCAGCAAAGAAUCCUGUGGCACCUU